ACAAACUUGGUCAUUUAGAGGAAGUAAAAGUCGUAACAAGGUCUCCGUUGGUGAACCAGCGGAGGGAUCAUUACCGAGUUUUCAACUCCCAAACCCCUGUGAACAUACCUAUCGUUGCCUCGGCGGGACGUCCCAGCGGCGGACCGUCGGGGGCACCAAACUCCUGUUUCCGUAACUGUAUCUUCUGAGUGGCGUAAAGCACAAAUACAUCAAAACUUUCAACAACGGAUCUCUUGGUUCUGGCAUCGAUGAAGAACGCAGC
RNAcentral lists this unclassified non-coding RNA (262 nucleotides) under uncultured fungus. Its description in RNAcentral is "partial contains small subunit ribosomal RNA, internal transcribed spacer 1, and 5.8S ribosomal RNA". The stretch from base 1 to 73 matches the Rfam family "Eukaryotic small subunit ribosomal RNA", at positions 1759 to 1831 of the family's 1831-position model. The record is from RNAcentral. Lineage: Eukaryota; Fungi.